RNAcentral lists this ribosomal RNA (449 nucleotides) under uncultured bacterium. RNAcentral's name for it is "partial 16S ribosomal RNA". It matches the Rfam family "Bacterial small subunit ribosomal RNA", at positions 29 to 523 of the family's 1533-position model. The record is from RNAcentral.
AACGAACGCUGGCGGCAUGCCUAACACAUGCAAGUCGAACGAGAUCUUCGGGUCUAGUGGCGCACGGGUGCGUAACGCGUGGGAAUCUGCCCUUUGGUUCGGAAUAACAGUUGGAAACGACUGCUAAUACCGGAUGAUGACGAAAGUCCAAAGAUUUAUCGCCAGAGGAUGAGCCCGCGUAGGAUUAGCUAGUUGGUGUGGUAAAGGCGCACCAAGGCGACGAUCCUUAGCUGGUCUGAGAGGAUGAUCAGCCACACUGGGACUGAGACACGGCCCAGACUCCUACGGGAGGCAGCAGUGGGGAAUAUUGGACAAUGGGCGAAAGCCUGAUCCAGCAAUGCCGCGUGAGUGAUGAAGGCCUUAGGGUCGUAAAGCUCCUUUACCCGGGAUGAUAAUGACAGUACCGGGAGAAUAAGUUCCGGCUAACUCCGUGCCAGCCGCCGCCGUAA